Molecule: long non-coding RNA, 1295 nt
Organism: Helianthus annuus (common sunflower)
Lineage: Eukaryota; Viridiplantae; Streptophyta; Magnoliopsida; Asterales; Asteraceae
Exons: 2
Source: RefSeq, a predicted model, not a curated record
UACACACAAAAGAUCCCAGUUCGAUUCAUGCUACUCUCGUUUUUUUGUGUUUUUUUUUUUUAAAUCUGAUUUUAAUAUUAGGCAUUCUAAUCCUUUCAAAGCAACUAAAAGAUAAUCAGAUCAUAAAGAGACCAAAAGACGCUCUGUAUUACCAUCCCUAUUCAAGAAACCCCUCCACCUUCCUCCGGCCUCCCUCCUCCGCCUCCGGCCUCCCACCGCCGGCUCCUCCUUUUUCCCCCCUCUCCGCCGCCCUAUCCCUAUCCGCCUCCACUGGCCAAAUUAUGCAAGAAUCAUUAAAAAGAAAGUUUCAUGUCUCAUCUUCUUCGAGUAAUAAUCGUAUGAGAAUUGAUUUGGAAGACCUUCCAUGGGAUCCCGCCGAACGAAAACCAAUAUUGUCUUAUGACGUUAACCAAAGAGAUGAAAUUAGACGGGCGUAUUUGAAUAAAGGUCCAUGUCAACCGCAAGGUCAUGUUUUUCCAAAACGAGAUAUUGGUGGUAGAAUGAGACAAUUUAAUCCCGAUUGGUUUAAGGAAUUUGGAUGUUGGUUAGAAUAUAGUGUAAAAUUGGAUGCCGUAUUUUGCUUGGUUUGCUACUUGUUCAAAGAAAAGAAAGUGGUCAAAAAGAUGCAUUUGUGACCGACGGAUACAAUGGUUGGAAUAAAAAAGAUAGAUUGGGUAUUCAUGUAGGUGGUAAGCCGAAUAGUUUUCACAACAAAGCACUUCAAAAAUGUGACGAUUUGCGUAAACCAAAACAAUCUAUUAGUAGUGCCUUUCAACCUAGCCAAAAACACAGAAUCGAGUAUAGAAUCCGAUUAAGCACAUCAGUUAUUCUUGCUAAAGCUUUAUUGAACGGUGCAUUACCGUUUCGCGGUCAUGAUGAGUCUGAGAGUUCAAGUUAUAAAGGACAUUUCUUGGAAUUUUUAAAACUAUUGGGAGAGUUGAACGAGUCCAUUGGUAAGGUUAUAUUAGGAAAUGCUCCGGGGAAUAACCAAAUGACGUCUCCAAAAAUUCAGAAAGAUAUUUGUAAUUGCUUUGCACAAGAAGUGUUAAAACAGAUUUUUGAAGAACUAGCCGAUGAUGUGUUUUCUAUAUUAGUUGAUGAGUCUCGUGAUAUAUCGAACGAGACCUUCUUGCCAAUGUUUCGGCCGACGAUGUAAUGGAUCGUUUUCAAAAGAUGAAAACUCGUCGGGAACAACUCUAAAAGUUUGUAAGCUUUUUUUUUUGUUUCCAAAGACAUAGUAUGUUUAUUAUGUGUUUUCUAAUGAGUAAUGGUUAUAUAAUUUUGUUAUGGUAUUA